RNAcentral lists this transfer RNA (76 nucleotides) under Podarcis lilfordi (Lilford's wall lizard). RNAcentral describes it as "tRNA.Gln". The record is from RNAcentral. Lineage: Eukaryota; Metazoa; Chordata; Lepidosauria; Squamata; Lacertidae.
AGCUGAGGGAUAGCUCAGUCAGUAGAGCAUAAGACUCUGAACCUCAGGAUCAUGGGUUUGAGCCCCAAGUUGGUCA